UGGACCAUGGUGUAAUUGGUAACACGACAGUUUUUGGCGCUGUCUUUCUGAGUUCGAGCCUCGGUGGUCCAA
Molecule: transfer RNA, 72 nt
Filed under: Bacilli bacterium
Lineage: Bacteria; Bacillati; Bacillota; Bacilli
Description: tRNA-Gln
Rfam family: tRNA
About the family: Transfer RNA (tRNA) molecules are approximately 80 nucleotides in length. Their secondary structure includes four short double-helical elements and three loops (D, anti-codon, and T loops).
Source: RNAcentral